This is a long non-coding RNA of Mastomys coucha (southern multimammate mouse), 425 nucleotides long. RefSeq lists it as uncharacterized. The record is from RefSeq and is a predicted model, not a curated record. The transcript has 3 exons. NCBI's taxonomy places the organism in Eukaryota, Metazoa, Chordata, Mammalia, Rodentia, Muridae.
GCAGAGAUGAGGAAGCAGGACUGAGCAGAGAAGCCAGCUGGAUGCAGCCUCAGCCUUGGGCUCCCGAGAGGAGAAGAGGACUUAGACGCCUCUUCCAUAAGUUGAAGAGUUGAAGAUGCAAGAAGCAACUACUGCAAUAUGUAAGAAGCCAUUCAAUGACAAUACUCCGUGGGACCAAAGCUAUCCAGACAACUAAAGGUCCAUGAAAGAAAACAAUCAACAAUCCUGCUCCAUUCAAUAACACACUCCAUGUCCAGCCAGGACCCAGAGAUACAGUUCUGACUGUGUCCUAUAGAGAGAUUGAGUCUCACAGGGAAAAUAUGGAUGCCAAAAUAAUACAAGUUGUUAUUUAUAUAACUAUACUUUUCUCCAUUACUUGCCUUUUUCAUUUAAGUCUUCUCAUUAAAUAACACAUGGAACAUCCA